GUGGGGAAUCUUAGACAAUGGGCGCAAGCCUGAUCUAGCCAUGCCGCGUGAGCGAUGAAGGCCUUAGGGUUGUAAAGCUCUUUCAGGGGGGAAGAUAAUGACGGUAACCGGAGAAGAAGCCCCGGCUAACUUCGUGCCAGCAGCCGCGGUAAUACGAAGGGGGCUAGCGUUGUUCGGAAUUACUGGGCGUAAAGCGCACGUAGGCGGACAUUUAAGUCAGGGGUGAAAUCCCGGGGCUCAACCCCGGAACUGCCUUUGAUACUGGGUGUCUGGAGUAUGGAAGAGGUAAGUGGAAUUCCGAGUGUAGAGGUGAAAUUCGUAGAUAUUCGGAGGAACACCAGUGGCGAAGGCGGCUUACUGGUCCAUUACUGACGCUGAGGUGCGAAAGCGUGGGGAGCAAACAGGAUUAGAAACCCGUGUAGUCC
This 425-nucleotide ribosomal RNA is filed under the name uncultured bacterium. RNAcentral describes it as "partial 16S ribosomal RNA". It matches the Rfam family "Bacterial small subunit ribosomal RNA", at positions 354 to 796 of the family's 1533-position model. The record is from RNAcentral.